This 226-nucleotide unclassified non-coding RNA is filed under the name uncultured fungus. RNAcentral describes it as "sequence contains ITS1, 5.8S rRNA gene". The stretch from base 178 to 226 matches the Rfam family "5.8S ribosomal RNA", at positions 1 to 49 of the family's 154-position model. Lineage: Eukaryota; Fungi. The record is from RNAcentral.
UUUCCGUAGGUGAAUCUGCGGAAGGAUCAUUAUCGUAGGGCUUCGGUCCUGUCGAGAUAGCGUCCUUGCCUAUUUUUUGGAGUACCUUUUCGUUUCCUCGGCAGGCUUGCCUGCCACUGGGGACCACUUUAAAACCUCUUAUGUAUGCAGUAAACGUCCACAAAUAAAUGAAAUCAAAACUUUCAACAACGGAUCUCUUGGUUCUGGCAUCGAUGAAGAACGCAGC